RNAcentral lists this ribosomal RNA (2374 nucleotides) under Staphylococcus aureus. RNAcentral describes it as "partial 23S ribosomal RNA". It matches the Rfam family "Bacterial large subunit ribosomal RNA", at positions 545 to 2925 of the family's 2925-position model. RNAcentral also lists the same sequence under 2 other names. Lineage: Bacteria; Bacillati; Bacillota; Bacilli; Caryophanales; Staphylococcaceae. The record is from RNAcentral.
AGAACCUGAAACCGUGUGCUUACAAGUAGUCAGAGCCCGUUAAUGGGUGAUGGCGUGCCUUUUGUAGAAUGAACCGGCGAGUUACGAUUUGAUGCAAGGUUAAGCAGUAAAUGUGGAGCCGUAGCGAAAGCGAGUCUGAAUAGGGCGUUUAGUAUUUGGUCGUAGACCCGAAACCAGGUGAUCUACCCUUGGUCAGGUUGAAGUUCAGGUAACACUGAAUGGAGGACCGAACCGACUUACGUUGAAAAGUGAGCGGAUGAACUGAGGGUAGCGGAGAAAUUCCAAUCGAACCUGGAGAUAGCUGGUUCUCUCCGAAAUAGCUUUAGGGCUAGCCUCAAGUGAUGAUUAUUGGAGGUAGAGCACUGUUUGGACGAGGGGCCCCUCUCGGGUUACCGAAUUCAGACAAACUCCGAAUGCCAAUUAAUUUAACUUGGGAGUCAGAACAUGGGUGAUAAGGUCCGUGUUCGAAAGGGAAACAGCCCAGACCACCAGCUAAGGUCCCAAAAUAUAUGUUAAGUGGAAAAGGAUGUGGCGUUGCCCAGACAACUAGGAUGUUGGCUUAGAAGCAGCCAUCAUUUAAAGAGUGCGUAAUAGCUCACUAGUCGAGUGACACUGCGCCGAAAAUGUACCGGGGCUAAACAUAUUACCGAAGCUGUGGAUUGUCCUUUGGACAAUGGUAGGAGAGCGUUCUAAGGGCGUUGAAGCAUGAUCGUAAGGACAUGUGGAGCGCUUAGAAGUGAGAAUGCCGGUGUGAGUAGCGAAAGACGGGUGAGAAUCCCGUCCACCGAUUGACUAAGGUUUCCAGAGGAAGGCUCGUCCGCUCUGGGUUAGUCGGGUCCUAAGCUGAGGCCGACAGGCGUAGGCGAUGGAUAACAGGUUGAUAUUCCUGUACCACCUAUAAUCGUUUUAAUCGAUGGGGGGACGCAGUAGGAUAGGCGAAGCGUGCGAUUGGAUUGCACGUCUAAGCAGUAAGGCUGAGUAUUAGGCAAAUCCGGUACUCAUUAAGGCUGAGCUGUGAUGGGGAGAAGACAUUGUGUCUUCGAGUCGUUGAUUUCACACUGCCGAGAAAAGCCUCUAGAUAGAAAAUAGGUGCCCGUACCGCAAACCGACACAGGUAGUCAAGAUGAGAAUUCUAAGGUGAGCGAGCGAACUCUCGUUAAGGAACUCGGCAAAAUGACCCCGUAACUUCGGGAGAAGGGGUGCUCUUUAGGGUUAACGCCCAGAAGAGCCGCAGUGAAUAGGCCCAAGCGACUGUUUAUCAAAAACACAGGUCUCUGCUAAACCGUAAGGUGAUGUAUAGGGGCUGACGCCUGCCCGGUGCUGGAAGGUUAAGAGGAGUGGUUAGCUUCUGCGAAGCUACGAAUCGAAGCCCCAGUAAACGGCGGCCGUAACUAUAACGGUCCUAAGGUAGCGAAAUUCCUUGUCGGGUAAGUUCCGACCCGCACGAAAGGCGUAACGAUUUGGGCACUGUCUCAACGAGAGACUCGGUGAAAUCAUAGUACCUGUGAAGAUGCAGGUUACCCGCGACAGGACGGAAAGACCCCGUGGAGCUUUACUGUAGCCUGAUAUUGAAAUUCGGCACAGCUUGUACAGGAUAGGUAGGAGCCUUUGAAACGUGAGCGCUAGCUUACGUGGAGGCGCUGGUGGGAUACUACCCUAGCUGUGUUGGCUUUCUAACCCGCACCACUUAUCGUGGUGGGAGACAGUGUCAGGCGGGCAGUUUGACUGGGGCGGUCGCCUCCUAAAAGGUAACGGAGGCGCUCAAAGGUUCCCUCAGAAUGGUUGGAAAUCAUUCAUAGAGUGUAAAGGCAUAAGGGAGCUUGACUGCGAGACCUACAAGUCGAGCAGGGUCGAAAGACGGACUUAGUGAUCCGGUGGUUCCGCAUGGAAGGGCCAUCGCUCAACGGAUAAAAGCUACCCCGGGGAUAACAGGCUUAUCUCCCCCAAGAGUUCACAUCGACGGGGAGGUUUGGCACCUCGAUGUCGGCUCAUCGCAUCCUGGGGCUGUAGUCGGUCCCAAGGGUUGGGCUGUUCGCCCAUUAAAGCGGUACGCGAGCUGGGUUCAGAACGUCGUGAGACAGUUCGGUCCCUAUCCGUCGUGGGCGUAGGAAAUUUGAGAGGAGCUGUCCUUAGUACGAGAGGACCGGGAUGGACAUACCUCUGGUGUACCAGUUGUCGUGCCAACGGCAUAGCUGGGUAGCUAUGUGUGGACGGGAUAAGUGCUGAAAGCAUCUAAGCAUGAAGCCCCCCUCAAGAUGAGAUUUCCCAACUUCGGUUAUAAGAUCCCUCAAAGAUGAUGAGGUUAAUAGGUUCGAGGUGGAAGCAUGGUGACAUGUGGAGCUGACGAAUACUAAUCGAUCGAAGACUUAAUCAA